Molecule: ribosomal RNA, 468 nt
Filed under: uncultured bacterium
Lineage: Bacteria
Description: partial 16S ribosomal RNA
Rfam family: Bacterial small subunit ribosomal RNA
Source: RNAcentral
GACGAACGCUGGCGGCGUGCUUAACACACGCAAGUCGAACGGAAAGGCCCUGCUUUUGUGGGGUGCUCGAGUGGCGAACGGGUGAGUAACACGUGAGUAACCUGCCCUUUACUUUGGGAUAACUUCAGGAAACUGGGGCUAAUACCUGAUAGGAGCUCCUGCUGCAUGGUGGGGUUUGGAAAGUUUCGGCGGUUGGGGAUGGACUCGCGGCUUAUCAGCUUGUUGGUGGGGUAGUGGCUUACCAAGGCUUUGACGGGUAGCCGGCCUGAGAGGGUGACCGGCCACAUUGGGACUGAGAUACGGACCAGACUCCUACGGGAGGCAGCAGUGGGGAAUAUUGCACAAUGGGCGGAAGCCUGAUGCAGCAACGCCGCGUGCGGGAUGACGGCCUUCGGGUUGUAAACCGCUUUCGCCUGUGACGAAGCGUGAGUGACGGUAAUGGGUAAAGAAGCACCGGCUAACUACGUG